Molecule: ribosomal RNA, 253 nt
Filed under: uncultured bacterium
Lineage: Bacteria
Description: partial 16S ribosomal RNA
Rfam family: Bacterial small subunit ribosomal RNA
Source: RNAcentral
UACGAAGGGGGCUAGCGUUGCUCGGAAUCACUGGGCGUAAAGGGCGCGUAGGCGGCCGAUCAAGUCAGAGGUGAAAGCCCGAGGCUUAACCUUGGAAUUGCCUUGGAUACUGUUCGGCUCGAGAACGGAAGAGGUAAGUGGAACUGCGGGUGUAGAGGUGAAAUUCGUAGAUAUUCGCAAGAACACCAGUGGCGAAGGCGGCUUACUGGUCCGGUUCUGACGCUGAGGCGCGAAAGCGUGGGGAGCAAACAGG